GGUAAAACAGCAGAGGGGAAGCAUUGAAUUGUAAAUUCAAAGACAGAGACUAGAUAUCUCUUUUUACCA
RNAcentral lists this transfer RNA (69 nucleotides) under Sarcophilus harrisii (Tasmanian devil). It matches the Rfam family "tRNA". From Rfam's summary of the family: Transfer RNA (tRNA) molecules are approximately 80 nucleotides in length. Their secondary structure includes four short double-helical elements and three loops (D, anti-codon, and T loops). Lineage: Eukaryota; Metazoa; Chordata; Mammalia; Dasyuromorphia; Dasyuridae. The record is from Rfam by way of RNAcentral.